Molecule: long non-coding RNA, 957 nt
Organism: Grus americana (Whooping crane)
Lineage: Eukaryota; Metazoa; Chordata; Aves; Gruiformes; Gruidae
Exons: 3
Source: RefSeq, a predicted model, not a curated record
ACCCGCAUUCAGGUGCUCGUGGAGAGCCCCCUCCCCAGAUCUCCGCCACGUCCCUGGCGGGAUGCAGCCCCUGAACCAGACCGGCAGCAACACUCGCUCUUCCCGGGGUCUGCGUGCUUCGCCCCGGUUCUACACCCAGACAGCCUCCAGCGUGGCUCCAUUUUCUGCAGACCUCCCUGCUGCCAGCCUGUUUGCAAUCACAACCGCAACCUCCUCGCGUCCGCUUGGCCGCCAGCCGGUGGUUUAGUGCCGAGCAAGGAGCAGAACAGCCGCCUCGGACACAGCCUCCACGGGCCGAGACAGGCAUUAGCCACAAAGAACACGGUUACUGUGCUCCAGUUGCAGAACAGCCCCGGACGCUAGAUUUGAUUUAAUUCAAAGCAUAAAGGAUCCUCAGGUGUUUGAUGUAGAAAGGGAAGGCCAGGGUAAGCCAUAAGGGUAAAUGGGCAGAGGCAGCGGGAACCGACCCUCAGUAAGGCUUUGGCUGGGAUGCCAAGCUCUCAUGCAUGCUUAAAAGUGACUUUUAAUUGUUCUAUUUACUUGGAACUAGCUUCUCUUGCUAGAUUUUCAGCACCUCUGAACCCAGAUAGGAUUGGUCCCCCACCUGAAAACAAACCUGGAGGAAAGGCUUUGCUUGGCUGUUUGAAUUCCCACUGUUCCCCUGUCACAAGGUACCUGCGGGGCAGCAGCUGCAGCCACAGGUUAGGUGGAUCUUGCUGUUCCGUCACCUUCGCUUUCAUCAAUCUUUUCUGUAAGUCCGAACAGGCAACAGACCACGAGAGCUGAUCCAGAGCCAGGGGCGGAACGAUCUCUGCAUGCAGCCAGGAAUUUGUCUUGGACAAUAGCUGAGACAGAUGUGCCUACCCACUGGUCCCCCAGAAACAGCCACUGCCCACCUCAGUACUUCUUCAGGCCGCACGGCAGACCUAGGACCGAUUUGGCACCCGAAAAUGGCGG